AGAGUCGUACUUAACAGGAUCAUUUCUGUAGUAUGCGUUCUCACACUUAACUACAUAAUUUGACAAUAUUUUCUAGU
This is a small nucleolar RNA of Cryptotermes secundus, 77 nucleotides long. RefSeq annotates it as small nucleolar RNA U3. The transcript has a single exon. Lineage: Eukaryota; Metazoa; Arthropoda; Insecta; Blattodea; Kalotermitidae. The record is from RefSeq and is a predicted model, not a curated record.